CAAUGCAACCAGCAAAAGCGUUGUUGUUUUUGCGGCAAGUGCCUGCGAAUGUGUUGCAGCUAAAAGUGGGCCAUGCACAGGUUGUUUCAACAUGGGAGAACGAAUUGGUUGAAUGUGCAACACUGGAAGUGGGACAAAAUAGCUAUGGUAUACAUGACUUGAACCACUGCCACUUUAUUGAGGCCAAACAAGGGAAUAGAAAAUGCAGCAUCAGCAUUGGCCGAACAAAGAGUAAAGAGGACGACAGGCUAAGAACUCGUUUCUACUUCUAUUUAUGCGUGCAUAAGCAAUUUGUAUUGGUACCGAACACAAGUUGCAACAAAUAGGAAACAUAUAAGAAAGUAACAGCAAAAACAAUUAUGUAGCUGAUGGCUACGGCAUACAAGCAGCAAGUGAACUGGCAAAUGUACAUAUGUAUUUAGGUAACUGGGUUAUCAACGCAAUUUGUUGCAGAAUAAAUCAUACAACAAUAUUGGUGUGUAUAAAUGUUGUCAAACACCUUCACAGGACAUAUUGUUAAGCCGCAGAAAAUUGCUUAGACAGCAUGGCUGAGCAGAGACGGGGUGACAAGUUUUUUUCGUUAUUGUUUUUACACUCGCUGUCCUACAACGUUUCGCGUACAAAACGAUUAAUAGACAAAUUUUUGUUUGUUUCAAUGACCAAUAACUAGUCGUUGUUAUUGCUGUUGUGCUUAAAGAUUAGUGCCUAAUAUAAUAUAUCAAAGGCUUUGCAGCGCCGCUUGGGGUAGAGUGCAGUAGCUGCGAAAGAUAAUGCUGUCAACAAUCCGACACUAACCAAAAAUUGUUUUAAUAAGCAGCAGAAUUGCAUUAACUUGUGCCUUAAUAUCUGUUGCAUGCCUCAUUACGCCUUCUGCCUGUAGGACAGCAACGCUGUUGUAUUUUUUGUUUCCCCUUCAUACUCAUUAAUCGCGAGUGUUGCGAAUUUGAGUAAAACCAAUUAAGGUCGCGAAAUUAUUGGAAAAUUGUGUGAAAUAAUUUGUUUAAAAUUGGCUUAACAGGACAAUAAUAGUAGUUUAAGGGAAAUAGUUAUGCAAUUGAAGGAAAAGUGUAAUUUAUAUAUAUAUAUUAUAUGGAAGUUGAAAGGAGAAGGCAAACAAGUAG
This is a long non-coding RNA of Bactrocera oleae (olive fruit fly), 1121 nucleotides long. RefSeq lists it as uncharacterized. The record is from RefSeq and is a predicted model, not a curated record. NCBI's taxonomy places the organism in Eukaryota, Metazoa, Arthropoda, Insecta, Diptera, Tephritidae.